UAACAUUAAAACACUGGUUCUCGUCCACUCAUUGAAGUUAAGCAACAUCAAGGCUGAGCAGUACCUGAAUGAGUGACCAUGUGGGAAUACCAGAUGUGGCAA
Acanthosepion pharaonis is the source of this 102-nucleotide non-coding RNA. The record is from the annotation of a GenBank genome assembly. NCBI's taxonomy places the organism in Eukaryota, Metazoa, Mollusca, Cephalopoda, Sepiida, Sepiidae.